This 245-nucleotide ribosomal RNA is filed under the name uncultured bacterium. RNAcentral describes it as "partial 16S ribosomal RNA". It matches the Rfam family "Bacterial small subunit ribosomal RNA", at positions 116 to 354 of the family's 1533-position model. The record is from RNAcentral.
CGUGGGUAACCUACCCAUCAGAGGGGGAUAACACUUGGAAACAGGUGCUAAUACCGCAUAACAGUUUAUGCCGCAUGGCAUAAGAGUGAAAGGCGCUUUCGGGUGUCGCUGAUGGAUGGACCCGCGGUGCAUUAGCUAGUUGGUGAGGUAACGGCUCACCAAGGCCACGAUGCAUAGCCGACCUGAGAGGGUGAUCGGCCACACUGGGACUGAGACACGGCCCAGACUCCUACGGGAGGCAGCAG